CUUGGUGAUUGGAGCGACGGGGCUACACACGGACACAUCUCGAACCCGAUCGUUAAGCCUGUCAGCGCCGAUGGUACUUGGUGGGUAACUGCCUGGGAGAGUAGGUCAUUGCCAAGAGGCU
This 121-nucleotide ribosomal RNA is filed under the name uncultured Chloroflexota bacterium. The record is from RNAcentral. Lineage: Bacteria; Bacillati; Chloroflexota.